AAAUAACAGAAGCAAGAGGUGAAAAGCAAACAGAAGAAACCCCAGCAUUGCUGACCACUUCUUGGGUUUGCCCGGCCCCUUGGCUUUCCACAGGCUGGCCCUGACGAAGCUGGACAUCCUGGACGUACUGGGUGAGAUUAAAGUCGGCGUCUCAUACAAGCUGAACGGGAAAAGGAUUCCCUAUUUCCCAGGUAUGUGAAGUAGGGCAACCGUUCUGCCUGUUGGGCCGUUUCAUGGCAUUGGAAUAGAUGGGACCUGUGAUUUCUCAGAGAGGGGUGAGUUCCCACGUUCACAGGACACAGGGCAAGCAACUUGUCUCCAGUGAUCAGCCUCCAUCAUGGCUUUUGCCUCUCACGGGUUUCUCCCCACAACAUUCCCCAGGAGGCCUGGCUGGGCAGGGGUGGCUGUAGGCCCCUUCCAGUGCUUUGGGAAUGGCUCAGGGGGAGAGACUACUUGCCUGGGACCCUGGGGUACCUUCAGCUGCCUUGAGGAAAAGGCCCACCUGCAGGGGGCCAUGGGAGGUACACAGGAAUUAGUGGAUGCGGUUGGCUCUGGAAAACCUAAAGCUCUAUGCAGAUGUACAAGAUGACUAUUUCAUCUGAGAAAAUAUGCUUUGUGGUGAGAUUUUUAGACCUAACCGGGAUCCCUGCUCCCGUGCAACCCUUCUUCUGGAAAGCAUGAAAGAGAUGCCAUUUUCACAGGUUUCAGUUCGUGUACAUCUGGAUGUGCCCCUUCGACCUCAGUCCUGGGUCAUCUUCUGACCCUGUCCCCCACAAUGACUUCCUCCUCAGUGGCCCUGGGUGAGCUGCUCCUGGCUGGUCUCCACUCAGCACAUCUUUGUAGACCACAGAGGGCCACUUGGCUACAGGAGCCAUGUGUGUCCUUGCAGGCAGUGUCCCUGACCCUCCUGACCCUUGACCUUUGAGAGGAUGCACUUCUGAGGACUGCAAGCUCUCCUCAUGGUGGUCCAGGGUCCCAGGAGGACAUGCAAACACUGCCUGGCUCCAAGGCUCAAACACACUUGCAGCGAGAACCCGUGUUCCAGCAUCUUCCAUCUGUAAGGGUGGUUGUCUUCUACCAGGAGCCACAGAGUCGCGCACAGAGCGGGGAUCCCUGCCCUCUGGGAGCUGAUGCUCUUGGGGUGGGAGGACACAGAUGCUUCAGGAUCCCUUAGUGCUUCAGGAUUCUAGAGUCUCUUAGAAUUUCCAAGCCAAGGCUUGGAGUGCCUCAGCUGAUGUCACAGUGGAAGUUCUAGCAGAGUGGGUAGCACAUGUGUCACGUCCCUCUGGUCUGGAAGGCGUGUAUUCAGUGUCUGAGCCCCACUGCUGUCCCCUGCUCACCACCCAACACUGAGAAAAUCAAACUGGGCCACGUGCCCACUUGCUGCCUUCCUCGCAGCUGAGUCCCUAGGCAAGGAGGCCCUGGAUGGGGGUGGCCGUGUCACCAAAUAUCUGCUUCCCUGGUGAUAGGAGGUCUGUGGGCCCCACUCAUCUCCUGUGUGCUUCCCCCAGCUAACCAGGAGAUGCUUCAGAAGGUCGAAGUCGAAUAUGAAACGCUGCCUGGCUGGAAAGCAGACACCACAGGCGCCAGGAGGUGGGAGGACCUGCCCCCGCAGGCCCAGAACUACAUCCGCUUUGUGGAGAAUCACGUGGGAGUCGCAGUCAAAUGGGUUGGUGUUGGCAAGUCAAGAGAGUCGAUGAUCCAGCUGUUUUAGUCGCAGACUGAGCUGAUCCCAACAGGCCCUGGCAGCGUCUGGACUUGUAUAAACAGCAGCAAUCACGUUCCUCGGCCACCACAACCAACACCAAAGCAGGAAAACCAUUUUCUGUACUUUUAUAUUUCUGUUCAACCUGUUGGUUUCUACAAUGAUUUUAAACAUUGGAAAGCCAGCCUUGUGUAUAUUUUUAAAAAUUAUAUUUAAAAUGAGCCAAAGUGCUCAAAGCAGAGACCUUCUAUGACACCUUAGUGUCACAUGGUUGCGUGUCCAGCCGAAGCAGCGUAAUAAACAUCUCCAAUGGCCGCCG
This 2024-nucleotide small RNA is filed under the name Pongo abelii (Sumatran orangutan). Its description in RNAcentral is "retained intron". Lineage: Eukaryota; Metazoa; Chordata; Mammalia; Primates; Hominidae. The record is from RNAcentral.